RNAcentral lists this ribosomal RNA (253 nucleotides) under uncultured bacterium. RNAcentral describes it as "partial 16S ribosomal RNA". It matches the Rfam family "Bacterial small subunit ribosomal RNA", at positions 524 to 776 of the family's 1533-position model. The record is from RNAcentral.
UACGGGGGGGGCAAGCGUUGUUCGGAAUUACUGGGCGUAAAGGGCUCGUAGGUGGCCAACUAAGUCAGACGUGAAAUCCCUCGGCUUAACCGGGGAACUGCGUCUGAUACUGGAUGGCUGGAGAUUGGGAGAGGGAUGCGGAAUUCCAGGUGUAGCGGUGAAAUGCGUAGAUAUCAGGAGGAACACCUGUGGUGUAGACAGCUUACUGGACCACUUCUGACGCUGAGACACGAAAGCGUGGGUAGCAAACAGG